AGCGAACGCUGGCGGCAUGCCUAACACAUGCAAGUCGAGCGCUCCCAGCAAUGGGGGAGCGGCGGACGGGUGAGUAACGCGUAGGAACGUAUCCUGAGGUGGGGGAUAACCCUGGGAAACUAGGGCUAAUACCGCAUGAUGGCGAGAGCCCAAAGAUUUAUCGCCUUGGGAGCGGCCUGCGUCUGAUUAGCUUGUUGGUGGGGUAACGGCCUACCAAGGCGAUGAUCAGUAGCUGGUCUGAGAGGAUGAUCAGCCACACUGGGACUGAGACACGGCCCAGACUCCUACGGGAGGCAGCAGUGGGGAAUAUUGGACAAUGGGCGAAAGCCUGAUCCAGCAAUGCCGCGUGGAUGAAGAAGGUCUUCGGAUUGUAAAGUCCUUUCGGCGGGGACGAUGAUGACGGUACCCGCAGAAGAAGCCCCGGCUAACUUCGUGCCAGCAGCCGCGGUAAGGCACGACUGU
RNAcentral lists this ribosomal RNA (462 nucleotides) under uncultured bacterium. Its description in RNAcentral is "bacterial SSU rRNA". It matches the Rfam family "Bacterial small subunit ribosomal RNA", at positions 29 to 532 of the family's 1533-position model. The record is from RNAcentral.